AGGAUAAACGCUGGCGGCGUGCCUAACACAUGCAAGUCGAACGUCUCUUCUUUCGGGAAGAGGAGUGGCGGACGGGUGAGGAACACGUGGGAACCUGCCCUUCAGUGAGGAAUACCGGCGAGAAAUCGCCGACAAGACCGCAUAGCCCUCUCUGGUGAGAGCCAGAGAAGGAAAGCUUCGCAAGAGGCGCUGGAGGAGGGGCCUGCGUCCGAUUAGCUAGUUGGUGGGGUAAGAGCCUACCAAGGCGUCGAUCGGUAGCUGGUCUGAGAGGACGAUCAGCCACACUGGGAUUGAGAACGGCCCAGACUCCUACGGGGGGCAGCAGUGAGGAAUUUUCGGCAAUGGGGGAAACCCUGACCGAGCAACGCCGCGUGCAGGAAGACGGCCUUCGGGUUGUAAACUGCUUUUCUUUGGGACGAGCAAGGACGGUACCAGAGGAAUCAGCCCCGGCUCACUACGUGCCAGCAGCCGC
RNAcentral lists this ribosomal RNA (472 nucleotides) under uncultured bacterium. RNAcentral describes it as "SSU rRNA". It matches the Rfam family "Bacterial small subunit ribosomal RNA", at positions 26 to 518 of the family's 1533-position model. The record is from RNAcentral.